RNAcentral lists this long non-coding RNA (286 nucleotides) under Ananas comosus (pineapple). Its description in RNAcentral is "long non-coding RNA (ACOM_LNC015385)". The record is from RNAcentral. Lineage: Eukaryota; Viridiplantae; Streptophyta; Magnoliopsida; Poales; Bromeliaceae.
ACUGAUAUUUUAUUCUUAGCUAUAUUGAUAUUUUAUUAUUUAUAAUUUUUUAUUUUAAUAAUAUUUAUUCGUCAUAAUGCGCUGAUGUCUCCACUAGUAUAUAUGUUCACCACUUCACCCAAAAGGCGAGAGGGUCUAGCUCAUUUUUAAACCUGACAAUUUCGACCUCGUAGAUACCCACGGAUUACCCGCAAAUUUACGGGUAUGAGUACUAAUUUUUUCAACCCAAAAAAUUAUGGAUAAAACAGAUGGGUAUCCAUUAACUUGUAGGCAUUUUGGGUAACCU